UAAUGCACCUGGGAAAGCAGCAGAAGAUGGCCCAAGUACGUGGAGUCACUGCCACUGAUCUGGGAGAGACCAAGAUGAAGUUGCCGGUUCCUAGCUUUGACCUAAACCAGCCCCAGUCAUUGUCACAGCCAUUUGGAAAACAGUAGAAGAUGGCCCAAGUCCUUGGGCCCCUACACCUGCAUGGGAGACCUGGAAGAUACUCCUUGCUCCUGGCUUCAGAUCGGCACAGCUCCAGCCAUUGUGGCCAUCUGGGGAAUGAACCAAUGGAUGGAAGACCUCUCUCUUUCUCUCUCUGCCUCUCUGUAACUCUGCCUUUCAAACAAAUAAAUAUCAAAAAAAAAAAAAA
This is a long non-coding RNA of Oryctolagus cuniculus (rabbit), 346 nucleotides long. RefSeq lists it as uncharacterized. The record is from RefSeq and is a predicted model, not a curated record. Lineage: Eukaryota; Metazoa; Chordata; Mammalia; Lagomorpha; Leporidae.